RNAcentral lists this unclassified non-coding RNA (340 nucleotides) under soil metagenome. Its description in RNAcentral is "partial contains 5.8S ribosomal RNA, internal transcribed spacer 2, and large subunit ribosomal RNA". The stretch from base 1 to 118 matches the Rfam family "5.8S ribosomal RNA", at positions 35 to 154 of the family's 154-position model. The record is from RNAcentral.
GAUGAAGAACGCAGCAAUGCGAUAAGUAGUGUGAAUUGCAGAAUUCAGUGAAUCAUCGAAUCUUUGAACGCACAUUGCGGCCAUAGGUAUUCCUUUGGCCAUGCCUGUUCGAGCGUCAUUUACACCCUCAAGCCUAGCUUGGUGUUGGGCGUCUGUCCCGCCGUUCUCGCGCGCGGACUCGCCUCAAAGUCAUUGGCGGCGGUCGUGCCGGCCCCCUCGCGCAGCACAUUUGCGCUUCUCGGAGGCCCGGCGGAUCCGCGCUCCAGCAAGACCUUUCACGACUUGACCUCGGAUCAGGUAGGGAUACCCGCUGAACUUAAGCAUAUCAAUAAGCGGAGGA